This 292-nucleotide ribosomal RNA is filed under the name uncultured bacterium. RNAcentral's name for it is "partial 16S ribosomal RNA". It matches the Rfam family "Bacterial small subunit ribosomal RNA", at positions 505 to 796 of the family's 1533-position model. The record is from RNAcentral.
GUGCCAGCAGCCGCGGUAAUACGUAGGCAGCAAGCGUUGUUCGGAAUUACUGGGCGUAAAGAGUGUGUAGGUGGUGUCGUAAGUUUGGUGUGAAAUCUCCCGGCUUAACUGGGAGGGUGCGCCGAAGACUGCGAUGCUGGAGUAUGGGAGAGGAAAGCGGAAUUCCUGGUGUAGCGGUGAAAUGCGUAGAUAUCAGGAGGAACACCUGCGGUGUAGACGGCUUUCUGGACCAUUACUGACACUGAGACACGAAAGCGUGGGUAGCAAACAGGAUUAGAUACCCUCGUAGUCC